GAUGAACGCUGGCGGCGUGCCUAAUACAUGCCAGUCGAACGCUGAAGGAGGAGCUUGCUCUUCUGGAUGAGUUGCGAACGGGUGAGUAACGCGUAGGUAACCUGCCUGGUAGCGGGGGAUAACUAUUGGAAACGAUAGCUAAUACCGCAUAACAACAGUUAUUGCAUGAUAACGGUUGAAAAGGGGCAACUGCUCCACUACCAGAUGGACCUGCGUUGUAUUAGCUAGUUGGUGAGGUAACGGAUCACCAAGGCGACGAUACGUAGCCGACCGGCGAGGGGGGGCAGCCGCACUGGGACGGAGACCCGGCCCAGAGUCCUACGGGAGGGAGCAGGAGGGCAUCGUGGGGAAUCGGCGGAAGUCUGACCGAGCAAGGCCGAGUGAGUGAGGAAGGUUUUCGGGUCGGGAAGCUCUGUUGUCAGGGAAGAACGCGCGUGCGAGUGGAAAGUUCACACUGUGACGGUAACUUAUCAGAAAGGGACGGCUAACUACGUG
Molecule: ribosomal RNA, 495 nt
Filed under: uncultured bacterium
Lineage: Bacteria
Description: partial 16S ribosomal RNA
Rfam family: Bacterial small subunit ribosomal RNA
Source: RNAcentral